AUUGCUUUGCUUAUUGCAUGCUAAUUGCUGAAAAUUGCUUUUUAUUUUAAAUUCCUUAGCUAAAAAUUGCUUUUUCUUUCAUAUUUCUCUGCUUAUUGAAUGACUAUUGCUAACUCAUUAGAUAGAACCUAAUUCUCAUAUAAGUAGGUGGAUGCGGCCUCGAUUAGCGGGGGAACCACAUGUAAAAAAGCGAGCUACUGGGUGUACCUCCUGGGUAGUUUGGAAAUCACCUAAUAUAUAUAUGUAUAUAUUUAUAAAUAAAAGUUAAUAUAUAUAAAUUAACAUUAAUUUUUUUUUAACAGGAAAUGCACAAUGCUAAAAACUGCGUAGGAGAUUUUAAUACAAUAGUACUACCAAGCCUGAUGUUGGCCGCUAUUUCAAUGAAUGCAGCAGUGUGACAGCUAGCAAUCAAAAGUAACAAGAUAUCGAGGAAAUGCAGAUGGCAAUAAACUGUGUAGGAGUUCAUGAUUGCAAUAGAAUAAAAUCGACCAAGCCUGAAGUCAGCAGCCCCUUCAAUGAAUGCAGCAGUGUGACAGCCAGCAAUCAAAAGUUACAAGAUAUCGAGGAAAUGCAGAAGGCAAAAAACUGCGUAGGAGAUCAUUAAUACAAAAGUAUUAUAUAAACCAAACCUGAUGUUGCCAGCUCCUUCAAUGAAUGCAGCAGUGUGACAGCCAGCAAUCAAAAGUAACAAGAUGUCGAGGAAAUGCAGAAGGCAAAAAACUGCGUAGGAGAUCAUUAAUACAAUAGUAUUAUAUAAACCAAGCCUGAUGUUGGCCGCUCAUUCAAAGAAUGCAGCAGUGUGACAGCCAGCAAUCAAAAGUAACAAGAUGUCGAGGAAAUGCAGAGUGCAAUAAACUGUGUAGGAGAUUAUGAUUGCAAUAGAAUAAAAUCGACCAAGCCUGAAGUCCUUCAAUGCACGCAGCAGUGUGACAGCCAGCAAUUAAAAGUUACAAGAUAUCGAGGAAAUGCAGAAGGCAAAAAACUGCGUAGGAGAUUAUUAAUACAAUAGUAUUAUAUCAACCAAGCCUGAUGUCGGUAGCUUCUUCAAUGAAUGCAGCAGUGUGACAGCCAGCAAUCAAUAGUAACAAGAAUCUAGGAAACACAGAAGGCAAAGAAGCAGAUGUCAUCAAAAAAGAUCUUUGUUCCUGCAAUGUUUCCGCAGACGAUACAUCCAACAGAGCGAAGUGGAAGGAAAAGACUCGGAAAAAAGACCCCACCACCAUAUGGGAACAAUGCAAGGGAGAGAGAGAGAAUAUAAUGUUAUAUUUUUAUUUUUUGAUAACAUAAAAUAAACCAACAAUAUCCUA
This 1307-nucleotide long non-coding RNA is filed under the name Pectinophora gossypiella (pink bollworm). Its description in RNAcentral is "uncharacterized LOC126381332". Lineage: Eukaryota; Metazoa; Arthropoda; Insecta; Lepidoptera; Gelechiidae. The record is from RNAcentral.